RNAcentral lists this non-coding RNA (107 nucleotides) under Gloeobacter violaceus. Its description in RNAcentral is "TPP sequence". It matches the Rfam family "TPP riboswitch aptamer (THI element)". From Rfam's summary of the family: Vitamin B(1) in its active form thiamin pyrophosphate (TPP) is an essential coenzyme that is synthesised by coupling of pyrimidine and thiazole moieties in bacteria. The previously detected thiamin-regulatory element, thi box was extended, resulting in a new, highly conserved RNA secondary structure, the THI element, which is widely distributed in eubacteria and also occurs in some archaea. Lineage: Bacteria; Bacillati; Cyanobacteriota; Cyanophyceae; Gloeobacterales; Gloeobacteraceae. The record is from RNAcentral. RNAcentral also lists the same sequence under 1 other name.
UGUUCACGCUGGGGGUGCGGACGGUCCGCACGAUCGCUUCGCUGAGAUCACACCCCUUGAACCUGAUCCGGUUCGUACCGGCGAGAGGGAAGCCAAAGGAGUCACUA